RNAcentral lists this ribosomal RNA (292 nucleotides) under uncultured bacterium. RNAcentral describes it as "partial 16S ribosomal RNA". It matches the Rfam family "Archaeal small subunit ribosomal RNA", at positions 455 to 747 of the family's 1478-position model. The record is from RNAcentral.
GUGCCAGCCGCCGCGGUAAUACCCGCAGCCCAAGUGGUGCUCGUUAUUAUUGGGCCUAAAACGUCCGUAGCCGGACCUGUAAAUCCAUGUGGAAAUCGGAGGGCCUAACCCUCCGAAGGGCGUGGACACUGCAGGCCUUGGGACUGGGUGAGUUCGGAGGUACUUCCGGGGUAGGGGUGAAAUCCUGUAAUCCUGGGAGGACCACCAGUGGCGAAGGCGUCCGAAUAGAACGGAUCCGACGGUCAGGGACGAAGCCCUGGGGCGCAAACGGGAUUAGAAACCCUCGUAGUCC